GGGGUGAAAACUUCCCGCAUUCCAGAAGUUCGAUGGCAUUGAGAAGGUGAAUCACAGUAGCUAACUCAACGCAAGGAGUGCAAACACUUCAAGUGCUUCAGAAGUGUGAGCAAAGAGCAGGCGAAGUCCAGUAACCAGCUCGAUGCAUAAAGUACAACCUCGAGGAGGCGGGCGAAGUCAAGUAACCUUUGCCUUCUCAACUCUCAAGAGAAUGGGCGAAACCGAGUACCCCAAUUCUCUUAUCUAUCCAGCAGAGGAGCUCUGCAUACGUUCAAAGACCCUUCGAAGAUAAUGGAAGACAAUAGUUGUCAAAUCCUUACCAACGUUGAUCAGUGUUACUGAGAGUAGAUUGUCCGCUUCAUUUCCCAAUAAAAUGCCAAUCGAAAGCGGAAGUGAUGCGAACCUACUUGGAUGUGACAACUAAGCGAAAGAAGAGUCAAUGAGCAAAUGUUGUGGAGGAAGGACCCAAAACUUCAGAAGUUUGCGAGACGAUGCUCGUUAAAGCUCCAACAAGCAUCCACCCAGUUCAAGCAGCAUGAGGAAUUUGAGAAACUGGCGCAGUAAGGAUGGUCUUUUCCUUCAUCUGGGGGAUCCGCAGGAAUAAAAAAUGAUCAACACAACUCAGCCAACCCCACACCAGAGUCAGAGUCAUUGGUGAGUUGAAGCAGCAUGGCGGAUCAAAGGUUCGACUACUCAAAAACAGCAGCGGAGAGCAGCUAGGAGCCAAAAGGCGCAUUGUAGCUGGAGCAGAAGAUUGAAGACUCAUCAAAGGCGAGGAGUUGCAGUGUCGACAAAGGCUUCAACAAGGACGUCGAAGGAAUAAGUGGGGGAGAAUGUCACGGACAAACUUCGAAACAGGAUGUUUGAUGUAAUGCGAGGAGUUGCAGUGUCGACAAAGGCUUCAACGAGGACGUCGAAGGAAUAAGUGGGGGGAGAANNNNNNNNNNNNNNNNNNNNCACGGACAAACUUCGAAACAGGAUGUUUGAUGUAAUGCUUAUACAUGUCCGUGUCUUUUGGCAUGUUCAUACCUUGUACAGCAUGUAGAGGGGCGGCCGAAGGCUUAAUAGUCCCAUUUUAGUUGGGUUAGUGGCCUCUUUAGGCUUGUAAAUAAAGGUUGUGUCAUGUGGACACGUGCGAGAGAUUUUCGGUCUGUAAUGGACUAUUUUACCCUUUGUUGUGCCACUGUUCAGAGCUUGUAAUGUCUGUUUGUAAUUUGCAUUGUCUAUAAAGUGUUUUUCGGAGAUGUUUGCUUGUGGAUCCCGAUUGAGGCGUUCUCUCUAACCCGUUCUCUCUUUUGGUUGUCCUAAGGGACAAUGGGAGGCUUCGGGGAGGCUGACCUUUGCGGACGGACACGCAAGGGUGCCGCACGACUUAGGCAAAACCAGCUAAGUCCGUGACAAUAUGGAGGCUGUGUUCCAUCGAGGGAAAAGUUCGAAUGCAAGUACCAGUGAGUCCCAUGGGUGGGACUUGAUCAUGCAGAGGUAUGAUCGAAGCAGCUGGAGAGUUGGACUGCUCUAGAGCCCAUAUUCUCUUAAGGGAGCCCGGCAAGUCAGAGGACAAUGUCGAGUUAGCGAACGUUGCUACCAAGGAAGCUAAGGAGAACAGAAUCGGCGCAAACCCUACAACGUAAUGGCAGAGGCUAUGCAUGGGAGUUGCAAUAUGUCUUUUCAUCGACCAAAGGGAACUACUUGAAGAACACAAAAGUGUUGAAGUAGAGGGUCGAAAGGGGCGAGGAAACGACGACAAGUCCAAAAGGACUUAGCUACCCAAAAUCAAGCAUCAGUUAGAAUGGAGGUGGACUCGGAGGAGUGCCACAGAGACAUAUCUACUGAUCAUGAAGAAAAGGGAUGCAGAUGUGAGGCAACGGAUAGUAGGGCCAUUAGCAUGACAGCGCCAUGGUAACGCAGAGACGGGACUUCCGUGAAAGUCAUUGAUCCCUUGCUCUCAUAGAGGGAGAGCGCUUGGUCGUGAAACGGGCCGAGGAGAUGGAGCAUACAGAGGCAAACUCAAAGUACCGAGACAAAGCUAAAGGGCAAAGGCCAGGGAACUUCGUAAGACCGGUGUCAACGAGCUUCUCAUCAAGAUAGCCGCAAGUGAAGGACUUCGGGUCAUGCAAGAGUGCACGACCAAGGAACGAAGCAGGCAAUACGCGGUGCUGUACCUUUGCUACUCAGUGGAUUAGGCGGCAGGGUUGAUGUUGAAGACGGUACAAUCCCAGAGGCGACCAAAUCUAUUAGAGAAUUACUCCAAGUUGGGGUGAAAACUUCCGGCAUUCCAGAAGUUCGAUGGCAUUGAGAAGGUGAAUCACAGUAGCUAACUUAAUGCAAGGAGUGCAAACACUUCGAGUGCUUCAGAAGUGUGAGUAAAGAGCAUGCGAAGGUCAGUAACAAGCUCGAUGCAUGGAGUACAACCCUUGAGGAGGCGAGCGAAGUUAAGUAACCAUUGUCUUCUCAACCCUUAAGAGAAUGGGCGAAAUCGAGUACCCCAAUUCUCUUAUCUAUCCAGUAGAGGAGCUCUACACAGGUUCAAAGACCCUUCGAAGAUAUUAGAAGACAAUAGUUGUCAAAUCGUCACCAAUGGUGAUCAGUGCUACUAAGAGUAGAUUAUUCGCUUCAUUUCCCAACAAAAUAACAAUCGAAAGCGGAAGUGAU
RNAcentral lists this long non-coding RNA (2652 nucleotides) under Musa acuminata (dwarf banana). Its description in RNAcentral is "long non-coding RNA (MACU_LNC002720)". The record is from RNAcentral. Lineage: Eukaryota; Viridiplantae; Streptophyta; Magnoliopsida; Zingiberales; Musaceae.